AAUCCGUGUUGAGGGUAUUGACGAAAUAAACUCGUGUAUCGUUCCCAAGCCUCAAAAUAACAUUCUGAGUCCAGUUGUUGGAAAGUAGUAAUUUCAUCCAUUAGCUU
RNAcentral lists this small nucleolar RNA (107 nucleotides) under Olea europaea subsp. europaea. RNAcentral describes it as "Plant small nucleolar RNA R71". It matches the Rfam family "Plant small nucleolar RNA R71". Rfam says of the family: R71 is a member of the C/D box family of snoRNAs containing the C (UGAUGA) and D (CUGA) box motifs. Multiple nearly identical copies of this snoRNA have been identified in Arabidopsis, and it is thought to function as a 2'-O-ribose methylation guide for 18S ribosomal RNA. The record is from Rfam by way of RNAcentral. Lineage: Eukaryota; Viridiplantae; Streptophyta; Magnoliopsida; Lamiales; Oleaceae.